ACCCACCCCCCGUCGCAAUUCCAUCUUCUCCAAAUCCACCCCAAACUUCCAACAUCCCAACGGAGUCCCCUGUUCUCGGCGCGAUCCGCCCCUCCCUCCCCUUGCUCGAGGCCGGCUGCCCUGAAUCGACCGAGAACGCCGAGUUCCGCAGCCGGGAUCGCCCAAAGGCACCUGCUUUCCGCCGAAUCCGCCGCCGCUGCCGCCAUCGUUGAUGCGCCGGGGCCGGGCCGUCGAGAUUCCGGCGUGAGGUGCGGUUCCUGACUUCCCGUGCGCGCGGAGAGGAGCGCCCGCCUUCCGGCCCCGUCGGCCAUGGCGUGCCGGGGAUUCUUCGAGUACGUCCUCAAGCUGCUCAACCUCGUCGUCAUGGCGGUCGGGCUGGCCAUGGUGGGCUACGGCGCCUACCUGCUCGUGAUGUGGCUGCAGGUGGUGCCGCCGCCGCCGCCGCUGCCACCGUCUCCGUCGCCGGUGGCGGUGGCUGCCAGCGGCGAGCUGGUGCGGCUCGGGAGGCCGCUGCUGCUCCUGGUCGAGGCGGCCGCCCUGUCGGACGGGACCGCGAAGAGGCUCUCCAGUGCCUGGUUUAUUUUUGCGGUCAUUGGUGUUGGUGUUGUACUCUUCAUCACAUCGAUCUUUGGUUGUGCCGGAGCUAGGAAUGGAUGCUGCUUGUCUGUUUAUUCAUUCCUCAUUAUUUUGUUCGCUUGCUGCGGGAGGCUUCAUUUUCUUCAACCAUAAUUGGAAAGAGGUGGUCCCAGUUGACAAAACUGGUAACUUUGACAUGGUGUACAACUUUCUGAAAGAGAAUUGGAGAAUUGCAAAAUGGGUUGCACUUGGAGCUGUUAUAUUUGAGGCAUUGCUAUUCACUGUGGCUAUCAUAGUACAGUCAGGCAAUCAAGCUGAUUAUGACAGUGAUGAUGAAUACAUUGGCCCGAGGUCUGGAAUAAGACAGCCAUUGGUAAAUCAGCAUCAGCAAGCUGCUGCUGAUCCUAGGGUGCCCAAUCUCGACUACCGCCCAAUCCGGAAUGAUGCAUGGAGCCAAAGGAUGAGAGAAAAGUAUGGGGUGGAUAGCUUCGAUCCAAACAGGUUUCAACAGGCCACCAUAUCUCCUGCAGAGCAAAGAAACCGAUGUACAAUUCUCUGAGGCUUGGUUGAUAUCAGGCACUAGUGAUUCCAUGUUUAUAUGCAACUGUGCAAUUACAUCGACUCCUGGAUAAUGCACGCCUGGUUUAUCCGAUGUUGCCAUAUUGUGUAGAAUAUGGAGAGUUUUGCCUUGGCCUGCCUGUGGCCGUUGGUUUGCAGGGUCAGAACUCCAUACUUCCACUGGUAUAGGCACUGAAUCUGUCAGGGUUUUGUGUUAAGUACUGAACCUAGUUUGUGUUUCAGUUAAUGUUUCAAUGUGCAUAAAACUUCUGUCUUCUGUCUGUGAAGUGAUUUUCACUAUAUGCACCAUGUUUAAACCAGACAUGUUUGUUACUCCAAAACUUCACAUUGCCUGAGAUCUCUAUGCACAUAUGAAUGAAAAUGCCGGGCCUUCUGUUCUUGCAA
Molecule: RNA transcript, 1539 nt
Organism: Panicum virgatum (switchgrass)
Lineage: Eukaryota; Viridiplantae; Streptophyta; Magnoliopsida; Poales; Poaceae
Gene name: tobamovirus multiplication protein 2A-like
Exons: 6
Source: RefSeq, a predicted model, not a curated record